Molecule: small RNA, 763 nt
Filed under: Arabidopsis thaliana (thale cress)
Lineage: Eukaryota; Viridiplantae; Streptophyta; Magnoliopsida; Brassicales; Brassicaceae
Description: ATSL086980
Source: RNAcentral
AAUUCAUCAUUUUUCAAACUCUAUAAAUAAAGACUUGUUUCAUUUGAUUUGGACACAGAAAAAAAUAUAUUUAUUUUCACUAUAAUUUUUUUAUUAGUCGGUAAACUCGUGUCUAUAUUUUUAUUCUGUUUUUUUCAGUGAAAUGGAUCCCCACAAUAACUCCUUUAACAACUAAAAUUCCACUUAUUAUCCAUUUAAAAUAUAAAAGAAAAGAAAAAUAAUGAAAUAAAAUGUUUUGGGGUAGGGUGUUGAAUUUUUAAAAAAAACCAUUGUAGAGUGUAAAAUUUGAGUGGGUAUUGAAUUAUUAUGUGGAAGAAAGAGGAAAGGAUGUGGAAGAGAGAGAAGAUGAUGUGGAGGGUGUUAAAUGAAAAAACCAUUGUUGAUAGCCUUAGAGCAGGAUUUUAAAAGUCAGAUUAUCGCAUCUAAUCUUGGAAAUUGAAAUGCAGUGUUAUGAGCCGUUGAUUUUUUGAGUUGAACCGAAUAAAAAAAUCACGCGUCUAUAUUUCAUCAACCGAAUUGCAUUAAUUUCAAAUAUUCAUUGCUUAUAUUCCUAUAUUGAAUUUGAAUAUAUCACUUCUCCAUAAUUAUAGGUAAUCAAAUACUUACUUUGGAUCUUCAUUUUGAAUUUUCAUAAAUUUUCUUAACGAUUUUCAUAAUUAAAUAACUACUUAUAUGGUAAAUGGUAAACAUUCUCCUAUAAUUAUGGGAUCAUCAUAAUCACUAAACAUGGAUUCCACGAUUUUGUAUUUUGUCCAUAUUUUUU